This 253-nucleotide ribosomal RNA is filed under the name uncultured bacterium. Its description in RNAcentral is "partial 16S ribosomal RNA". It matches the Rfam family "Bacterial small subunit ribosomal RNA", at positions 524 to 776 of the family's 1533-position model. The record is from RNAcentral.
UACGAAGGGGGCUAGCGUUGCUCGGAAUUACUGGGCGUAAAGCGCACGUAGGCGGAAUGUUAAGUCAGGGGUGAAAUCCCGGGGCUCAACCCCGGAACUGCCUUUGAUACUGGCAUUCUCGAGUCCGGAAGAGGUGAGUGGAAUUCCGAGUGUAGAGGUGAAAUUCGUAGAUAUUCGGAGGAACACCAGUGGCGAAGGCGGCUCACUGGUCCGGUACUGACGCUGAGGUGCGAAAGCGUGGGGAGCAAACAGG